UAAAGGCGUAACGUUUCAUUAAUAAUAAAAACAAUAAACUGGACUGAAAAUAGAUAUCAACAGAAACAAAUGGUUUUUGCUCUUAGAUUACUGGGGAGCGAAAAACUCUCCUUUUCUAAGCGAUAGUUGUAAACGUUAUUAUAAUCAUCAUAAUGCUAACUUCCUGGCUCUAAAUAAAAGAUAUAAACUGUUGAAUAUAUAUCAAAAAUAGUUGAAUCCUUGCUUGCCAUGAAGAAAACCAAAAUUUUUUUCUCAUAAAUGUUCGAUAAUGCAGUUAUUUACGCACAUACCUCAGCCAGCUUUUUUAAUUCAGAGGAUCCGCGAUCCUCCAUAGUGCCCAAUACGUUUCGAACAGCACUUUGUAACUGUUGUCGAUGCGAGGCUGAUAUAUUUUCGUGAGUCAAGAGUUUGCAAAUAAAAGACGGACCAUAAGUUUGUUCGAAAAGUAUUUUCUCUAAAGAGUUUGGAUUGAGAUCAUUUUGCGUAUCCAAAAUAGCAUCAACGACUAAAUCACCACAAGCAGUAUCACCUUGUGAUAUGGAAAUUAUUUUAAGAAGGGAAUUAUAAGCUAGUCGAUGAGUGCAAACUCUAACAAUGUCUUGAACAAAUCUCCGGGUUAAAAGAAUAGGAAUAUGAGGAUAGUUCAUAUUUUCAACAAGAUAAGUUAACAGUAGCGUACCAUUACCGUUCAUAGCUAAGUGUACGGAAUAGACUGUUAUAGCAGCAGCAACAAGUACACGUUGUUC
Molecule: non-coding RNA, 746 nt
Organism: Schizosaccharomyces pombe (fission yeast)
Lineage: Eukaryota; Fungi; Ascomycota; Schizosaccharomycetes; Schizosaccharomycetales; Schizosaccharomycetaceae
Source: the annotation of a GenBank genome assembly